AAAUAUGAAAACAGAUACAGACAGUCGAUACAAAUACAGCUCACCAGUCACACACAGUCAUGAUCAGAUUCUGCCAAUAGAGGGAGGUGUUUGAUUGACAGGUGUCCGGUCUGCAAUCUCUCCCAUUGAAACUCUGCAAAGAUGAGAAAAGUACUUAUAAUCCAAUUUCAAAACUCAUUAAACACAUGCAAGGAAACCUGCUACAGUUCUAACGUAAACUAUCAUGGUUUCAGGCUUCAAAUUUCUUUUUUCUUCUACAUUAAGCAAAUCAUUGUCAUUAAUGUAGAAGAAAAAGAAAUGUAGACAACGGCGGCCGCCCAUUGGCUCGGAGUCUACACUCUUCUACACUUGCCGGCCGCUCAUUGGCCAGGAGUCUACACUCUCCUCCGAAGUGUAGACAAUGGCGGCCUCCCAUUGGCGCGGGGUCUACAGUUCCCUAGAGCCUUCCCCCUCCCCGACGUUGGCACUUGACGCUCUCCGAGCGAGUUCAGCCGAAUGGAAAAAGGUAAAAAGUCACCACCGUUUCACCCGUUACACGUCUACGAAGAGGACGACGCCACGCACUUGACGCUCUCCGAGCGAGUUCAGCCGAAUGGAAAAAGGUAAAAAGUCACCACCGAUUCACCCGCCUCGUUCGCUUCAUGUCAACAACUUAGCCAUACAAAACUAUGUUUUUUAAGGUAGGUUUAUUAAAUUACUUUUUCCGUGAAUGAACUUGUUUAUCUUUGGGUUUAUUCAUAUGUUAAUGUGCUGCCGAUUUUUACUGUUGUGCUUGCUGUGUUCUUUGUAUAUAUUUAGCAGAUGCAAUCAUUCUUUUUCCAGUUCAUGACAUAUCUUUAUGCACCUUCUUGGAAACUACUUACUAAUUACUUCCUUAAUGUGCAAAUCACAAAUGUCACAACUCAUCAAAAUCUUGUUUUGUGUGUAUAUAUAUAGGCUAUAUGCACUCGUUACCUCUGUCACAGGCAUAAUAAUUCUCUUGCACUACGAGCUUGAUGCCUUUCACAUUGAUCUCCAGGACAAGGCUUUAUAUUCUAUAAUGUAUAUUUAAUCUUUAUCUUGGUUGUCAUUGCUGUUUUAGAUUUAUAUUUUAAGCUAAUAUUACAAUUAUUUAUGUUUUUUUACACCUGUGUUUAUAAACCUGUGACAACCUAUUUUAUUAUUGAAAAUGUGAGUUAUUAAAAAAACAAAAAUUGCACUCCAAUAAACCUCUCUGACCUUUAUUUUCAUACAACAAUUAACAGAAUAUAAAAAAUCAUAAACAUGACAAGAUAAGCCAGUCAAUUCCUCAUCCAGAACAUUCCCCUAUUACAGUAGCAACAAACAUAACGGUGAUAAGCUGUACUUAAGCUCUGCUAAGGCACUUUUAAUGUAAACAGAUCCACACCAGUGAUAGCUUUCCAUACAGGUUGUUUUGCCUUUUUUAAACCUUUCAAUGUGGAGUUUGCAUGAGGGCAAAGGUUAAACUACUUUGCUUGUGUGGUGUUCAGAAAACAAUAUGGCUUUGA
Long non-coding RNA from Gadus morhua (Atlantic cod), 1508 nucleotides. RefSeq lists it as uncharacterized. The record is from RefSeq and is a predicted model, not a curated record. Lineage: Eukaryota; Metazoa; Chordata; Actinopteri; Gadiformes; Gadidae. The transcript has 3 exons.